GUGCCCGCUUUGGCGGCAAGUACACUAAAACCAGAACGAUACGGGGAAGAUUAGCCUGCCCUUGCAGAGAAUGACGUGCAAAUUUGCGAAGAGUUUAAUUACAUA
Molecule: small nuclear RNA, 105 nt
Organism: Panthera tigris altaica (Amur tiger)
Lineage: Eukaryota; Metazoa; Chordata; Mammalia; Carnivora; Felidae
Source: Ensembl